Molecule: ribosomal RNA, 3048 nt
Filed under: Salmonella enterica subsp. enterica serovar Paratyphi A
Lineage: Bacteria; Pseudomonadati; Pseudomonadota; Gammaproteobacteria; Enterobacterales; Enterobacteriaceae
Description: bacterial LSU rRNA
Rfam family: Bacterial large subunit ribosomal RNA
Source: RNAcentral
UUUGCUCUUUAAAAAUCUGGAUCAAGCUGAAAAUUGAAACACAGAACAACGAAAGUUGUUCGUGAGUCUCUCAAAUUUUCGCAACACGAUGAUGAAUCGUAAGAAACAUCUUCGGGUUGUGAGGUUAAGCGACUAAGCGUACACGGUGGAUGCCCUGGCAGUCAGAGGCGAUGAAGGACGUGCUAAUCUGCGAUAAGCGCCGGUAAGGUGAUAUGAACCGUUAUAACCGGCGAUUUCCGAAUGGGGAAACCCAGUGUGAUUCGUCACACUAUCAUUAACUGAAUCCAUAGGUUAAUGAGGCGAACCGGGGGAACUGAAACAUCUAAGUACCCCGAGGAAAAGAAAUCAACCGAGAUUCCCCCAGUAGCGGCGAGCGAACGGGGNNNNNNNNNNNNNNNNNNNNGUCUGGAAAGGCGCGCGAUACAGGGUGACAGCCCCGUACACAAAAGCGCAUGUGCUGUGAGCUCGAUGAGUAGGGCGGGACACGUGGUAUCCUGUCUGAAUAUGGGGGGACCAUCCUCCAAGGCUAAAUACUCCUGACUGACCGAUAGUGAACCAGUACCGUGAGGGAAAGGCGAAAAGAACCCCGGCGAGGGGAGUGAAAAAGAACCUGAAACCGUGUACGUACAAGCAGUGGGAGCACAGGUUUACCUGUGUGACUGCGUACCUUUUGUAUAAUGGGUCAGCGACUUAUAUUCUGUAGCAAGGUUAACCGUAUAGGGGAGCCGGAGGGAAACCGAGUCUUAACCGGGCGUUAAGUUGCAGGGUAUAGACCCGAAACCCGGUGAUCUAGCCAUGGGCAGGUUGAAGGUUGGGUAACACUAACUGGAGGACCGAACCGACUAAUGUUGAAAAAUUAGCGGAUGACCUGUGGCUGGGGGUGAAAGGCCAAUCAAACCGGGAGAUAGCUGGUUCUCCCCGAAAGCUAUUUAGGUAGCGCCUCGUGAAUUCAUCUCCGGGGGUAGAGCACUGUUUCGGCUAGGGGGCCAUCCCGGCUUACCAACCCGAUGCAAACUGCGAAUACCGGAGAAUGUUAUCACGGGAGACACACGGCGGGUGCUAACGUCCGUCGUGAAGAGGGAAACAACCCAGACCGCCAGCUAAGGUCCCAAAGUCAUGGUUAAGUGGGAAACGAUGUGGGAAGGCCCAGACAGCCAGGAUGUUGGCUUAGAAGCAGCCAUCAUUUAAAGAAAGCGUAAUAGCUCACUGGUCGAGUCGGCCUGCGCGGAAGAUGUAACGGGGCUAAACCAUGCACCGAAGCUGCGGCAGCGACACUCAGGUGUUGUUGGGUAGGGGAGCGUUCUGUAAGCCUGUGAAGGUGGCCUGUGAGGGUUGCUGGAGGUAUCAGAAGUGCGAAUGCUGACAUAAGUAACGAUAAAGCGGGUGAAAAGCCCGCUCGCCGGAAGACCAAGGGUUCCUGUCCAACGUUAAUCGGGGCAGGGUGAGUCGACCCCUAAGGCGAGGCCGAAAGGCGUAGUCGAUGGGAAACGGGUUAAUAUUCCCGUACUUGGUGUUACUGCGAAGGGGGGACGGAGAAGGCUAUGUUGGCCGGGCGACGGUUGUCCCGGUUUAAGCGUGUAGGUGUGUGUUCCAGGUAAAUCCGGUUCACUUUAACACUGAGGCGUGACGACGAGGCACUACGGUGCUGAAGCAACAAAUGCCCUGCUUCCAGGAAAAGCCUCUAAGCAUCAGGUAACAUCAAAUCGUACCCCAAACCGACACAGGUGGUCAGGUAGAGAAUACCAAGGCGCUUGAGAGAACUCGGGUGAAGGAACUAGGCAAAAUGGUGCCGUAACUUCGGGAGAAGGCACGCUGACACGUAGGUGAAGUGAUUUACUCAUGGAGCUGAAGUCAGUCGAAGAUACCAGCUGGCUGCAACUGUUUAUUAAAAACACAGCACUGUGCAAACACGAAAGUGGACGUAUACGGUGUGACGCCUGCCCGGUGCCGGAAGGUUAAUUGAUGGGGUCAGCGCAAGCGAAGCUCCUGAUCGAAGCCCCGGUAAACGGCGGCCGUAACUAUAACGGUCCUAAGGUAGCGAAAUUCCUUGUCGGGUAAGUUCCGACCUGCACGAAUGGCGUAAUGAUGGCCAGGCUGUCUCCACCCGAGACUCAGUGAAAUUGAACUCGCUGUGAAGAUGCAGUGUACCCGCGGCAAGACGGAAAGACCCCGUGAACCUUUACUAUAGCUUGACACUGAACAUUGAGCCUUGAUGUGUAGGAUAGGUGGGAGGCUUUGAAGUGUGGACGCCAGUCUGCAUGGAGCCGACCUUGAAAUACCACCCUUUAAUGUUUGAUGUUCUAACGUGGACCCGUUACCCGGGUUGCGGACAGUGUCUGGUGGGUAGUUUGACUGGGGCGGUCUCCUCCUAAAGAGUAACGGAGGAGCACGAAGGUUGGCUAAUCCUGGUCGGACAUCAGGAGGUUAGUGCAAUGGCAUAAGCCAGCUUGACUGCGAGCGUGACGGCGCGAGCAGGUGCGAAAGCAGGUCAUAGUGAUCCGGUGGUUCUGAAUGGAAGGGCCAUCGCUCAACGGAUAAAAGGUACUCCGGGGAUAACAGGCUGAUACCGCCCAAGAGUUCAUAUCGACGGCGGUGUUUGGCACCUCGAUGUCGGCUCAUCACAUCCUGGGGCUNNNNNNNNNNNNNNNNNNNNAUUUAAAGUGGUACGCGAGCUGGGUUUAGAACGUCGUGAGACAGUUCGGUCCCUAUCUGCCGUGGGCGCUGGAGAACUGAGGGGGGCUGCUCCUAGUACGAGAGGACCGGAGUGGACGCAUCACUGGUGUUCGGGUUGUCAUGCCAAUGGCACUGCCCGGUAGCUAAAUGCGGAAGAGAUAAGUGCUGAAAGCAUCUAAGCACGAAACUUGCCCCGAGAUGAGUUCUCCCUGAGACUUUAGGUCUCCUGAAGGAACGUUGAAGACGACGACGUUGAUAGGCCGGGUGUGUAAGCGCAGCGAUGCGUUGAGCUAACCGGUACUAAUGAACCGUGAGGCUUAACCUUACAACGCCGAAGAUGUUUUGGCGGAUGAGAGACGAUUUUCAGCACUGAUU